Molecule: ribosomal RNA, 509 nt
Filed under: uncultured bacterium
Lineage: Bacteria
Description: bacterial SSU rRNA
Rfam family: Bacterial small subunit ribosomal RNA
Source: RNAcentral
GAUGAACGCUAGCUACAGGCUUAACACAUGCAAGUCGCGGGGCAGCAUGGGGGUUGCUUGCAAUCCCUGAUGGCGACCGGCGCACGGGUGAGUAACGCGUAUCCAACCUGCCCUUCACCACGGGAUAACCCGGCGAAAGUCGGACUAAUACCGUAUGUUGUCCAUUGACGGCAUCCGAUUUGGACGAAAGGCUUGGCGGUGAGGGAUGGGGAUGCGUCCGAUUAGCUCGACGGCGGGGUAACGGCCCACCGUGGCGACGAUCGGUAGGGGUGCUGGGAGGAAGGUCCCCCACACUGGAACUGGGACAAGGUGCAGACUCCGACGGGAGGCAGCAGUAGUGAAUAUUGGUCAAUGGGCGGAAGCCUGAACCAGCCAAGUAGCGUGCAGGAUGACGGCCCUAUGGGUUGUAAACUGCUUUUAUGCGGGGAUAAAGGAGCCCACGUGUGGGCUUGUGCAGGUACCGCAUGAAUAAGGACCGGCUAAUUCCGUGCCAGCCGCCGCCGUAAGAC